Molecule: long non-coding RNA, 1373 nt
Organism: Rosa chinensis
Lineage: Eukaryota; Viridiplantae; Streptophyta; Magnoliopsida; Rosales; Rosaceae
Exons: 5
Source: RefSeq, a predicted model, not a curated record
CAGUGCCGGGGCGCCGCCGGACGAGACCGCCCAACCAGCACAGAGAAAACCCAAAGUCCCAGAGGCAAUUCCCGGUCCCCCACUAACUAUCCGUGUUAUCUUCUUACGUCUCUUGUGCUUGCAUAUUAUUAAAAUUCUUCAAGAGUUGCUAUUGAGAAACAAAAGCUGCGAGAGUUUCCCCUGCCGAUCAACGUUGUAAACAUAUUUAGCAUGUAUGUAGGAGAGAAAUAGCUAGAUUAAUCACCUCUAGUAACUUGAGGGCAGAGAGACGACGGUGGGGAGGUUGUGUUGGUAGAACCAGUUUCUGGCCUGGGAGGUUUGUUGUGCCAUGGUGUUGGUGCCAGGGCAGAGUUGGCUGGGCCACUGGGCUGUGAUGAGUGGGCCGUAAUUUUUCUUUUUCUCUUUUUAAAAUGCUACUAAUAACCCUCUCGGUUAUUGGGUUUGGGUUUGUUAGACUGUUUCACAUGUUUAUACUUUUUCAUUCUCCAAUAGCAAGCCCCUGUUUUUAUGCCUAAUUAGAAGCGCAAAAAGAGAAACAGGGCAAAACAGAGACGCGCCACUACCGCAGCUCAGAGAGAAAAAGAGAGUGGCCACAGCAGCUAUCAACUUAGCCCUCGUAAAGCCGUCGCCUUUCUCUGUUCCAAAGCCUCAAAAACCUUCAAAGCUUAGGGUUUUCACUCUCCGAUGCUCCUCCGCCACCGCAAAUGCCGUCUCAGAUUAAUGAGCUGCGUGAGGACAUAUGUAUUUCUGACUAUUAUUGGGCUGGUGGCGGAGAACUAAGGUCUCUAAAUGCUUGGUUCGGUCCAGCUGGGACUGUAACCUCAUUACACCAUGAUCCGCACCAUAAUGUGUUUGCCCAGACUGCAAUUUGUAGCGCCCAUGAGACAUGACUGUUCUAACUUGUAGUUGGGAAAAAGUAGAUAAGGCUCUAUCAUGCUUCAUUGUCAGAGGAACUCUAUCCACAUGCUGAAAUCAUGCUUUGCAACUCAAGUCAGGUUGAUCUAGACAACAUAGAUGAGAAAGAAUUCCUGGAGUUGCAGGACUUAGAAUUUCUUGACUGCAUUUUAGAGGAAGGUGACAUGCUUUAUAUCCCACCAAAGUGGUGGCACUAUGUGCGGUCUCUGACAACAAGUAUGUCGGUUAGCUUUUGGUGCAGUGAUUAUGACAGUUAAGCUACGUCUUGAAAGUUUGUGGUUUCAUUGCCUUCUUAUUGAUUCAUUUUGAUAUAUUGUCAGACAGGGCAGUUUUCAGUUUUGGAGUCUUACAUUCUCAUGUAUAUAUCCUGCUGUGUUAUAUUCACGAUGAGCCUUACAGAAGUCUAGGGAGAAAGAAACUGUUUCUAACAAUUUUGAGUAGUAUUUUUAACAUCUUUA